CCUACGGGUGGCAGCAGUGAGGAAUAUUGGUCAAUGGUCGUGAGACUGAACCAGCCAAGUCGCGUGAGGGAUGAAGGUUCUGUGGAUCGUAAACCUCUUUUAUCAGGGAAUAAAGAGUGGGACGUGUCCUCUUUUGUAUGUACCUUAUGAAUAAGGAUCGGCUAACUCCGUGCCAGCAGCCGCGGUAAUACGGAGGAUCCGAGCGUUAUCCGGAUUUAUUGGGUUUAAAGGGUGCGUAGGCGGCCUUUUAAGUCAGCGGUGAAAGUCUGGGGCUCAACCCUAGCAUUGCCGUUGAAACUGGCGGGCUUGAGUAUGUGUGAGGCAGGCGGAAUGCGUGGUGUAGCGGUGAAAUGCUUAGAUAUCACGCAGAACACCGAUUGCGAAGGCAGCCUGCCAAGCCAUGACUGACGCUGAUGCACGAAAGCGUGGGUAUCAAACAGGAUUAGAUACCCUAGUAGUC
This 460-nucleotide ribosomal RNA is filed under the name uncultured bacterium. Its description in RNAcentral is "partial 16S ribosomal RNA". It matches the Rfam family "Bacterial small subunit ribosomal RNA", at positions 338 to 795 of the family's 1533-position model. The record is from RNAcentral.